CUGCAGUAAACCAAAAGAAAAGAAAGAGUAAGAAGCCUUGUAAAGGAAACUAAAGACAAGAAACUAAACUAGACCGAAGCUGAAGCUGAAACAAAGAUGUGAGAAUUAUCAGGAGAAGAGUCUCAAUGAAUGAAUCUGAACCACGGCAGCAUCUAUUUUAGAUUCUGGUCACGUUCUGCUUUACUCACCUCGUCUCUUAAACCUGCGUCUCCGAAUAAAGUAGACGGUGAUGAUGAUGAGGAUGAAGAGAAGAGGAGCACUCAUUCCUAACUGGAAACCAGUUUGUUUGACUGGAAACAAACAUAAACAUAAAUAUCAUUUAAACAUUUUAUCUACAGAACAGGGGCCCGUUCUUCGUACCUCGCUAAGUAAGUUAGCCGGAUUUGAUUGUUGACGAUUUCGCGUGAUCUUGGAUCGUUCGGUUCUCCGAAGCUCAUCCGGGACUUGCUGUCAUAGCAACAGAUCCGUAAGCGUAAACCUGCUCGGGAGCAGGUUUACUUUAUGUAAACAGGAUUAGAUCGCCGCCACUCAGAUGGCCGCCCCUCCCUGUACCGGGUUCUGCUCGGGGUUUCUUCCUGUUCCCUCCGCCAUCUCGGCCACCCUCUGGGCCAGCUCCUCCCUCUGGCUCGGUUGUGGGCCAGCCAUGCUGCGUCCCGGGUUUCAGCACCAGUGUGGCGUGAAUAAGGCUCGGCGGGACCACAGGUUGUUAUUGAGAGCCAUUUUUGUUCAUUCCAUGGCUGCAGCUCUCUGCUGGCAGCACAUCACACCGCCACACACAACCCCUGAGUCCCCGUGUUUUAACACGGCGAGCGUGAUCGCAGAUGCUGUGCAGUGUCUCGUCUCCAUGUUGGAACAGCUGAUCCUCCAACAUCACCAGGACAUUUCAGUGAGACGCUGUCUCUCUCUUCAACAGUGCGUCUUAUUGUUCCUGUGAAUAAUAAAUGAAUGUGUGACUAAAAACCAGGAUUGAGCUUGUAAAAUGGACAAUUAUUGGAUUUUCUCGUGUUCAUUAUGAAAUCAGGGGCCAAAACAAACAAAGAAACAAAAAAAUAAAAACAAACAAUAUCAAAAAAGUAAAAGCAAAUAGCUAAUUUAAGAAAUGUGAUAAAUUAACCUAUUGAGACCUGAGGGAUGUACUCAGAUUACGGGGUUAGCAGGUAUGUUGAGCCCAAAGCUCGGGUAUUCAAAGUCACCAGGGUAACUG
This 1204-nucleotide long non-coding RNA is filed under the name Oreochromis niloticus (Nile tilapia). RNAcentral describes it as "lncRNA (ENSONIG00000029836.1)". Lineage: Eukaryota; Metazoa; Chordata; Actinopteri; Cichliformes; Cichlidae. The record is from RNAcentral.